This 410-nucleotide ribosomal RNA is filed under the name uncultured microorganism. RNAcentral describes it as "bacterial SSU rRNA". It matches the Rfam family "Bacterial small subunit ribosomal RNA", at positions 509 to 917 of the family's 1533-position model. The record is from RNAcentral.
CAGCAGCCGCGGUAAUACGUAGGUGGCAAGCGUUGUCCGGAAUUAUUGGGCGUAAAGCGCGCGCAGGCGGUUCCUUAAGUCUGAUGUGAAAUCUCGCGGCUCAACCGCGAGCGGCCAUUGGAAACUGGGGAACUUGAGUGCAGGAGAGGGGAGCGGAAUUCCACGUGUAGCGGUGAAAUGCGUAGAGAUGUGGAGGAACACCAGUGGCGAAGGCGGCUCUCUGGCCUGUAACUGACGCUGAGGCGCGAAAGCGUGGGGAGCGAACAGGAUUAGAUACCCUGGUAGUCCACGCCGUAAACGAUGAGUGCUAAGUGUUAGAGGGUAUCCACCCUUUAGUGCUGCAGCAAACGCAUUAAGCACUCCGCCUGGGGAGUACGGCCGCAAGGCUGAAACUUAAAGGAAUUGGCGGG